Molecule: unclassified non-coding RNA, 412 nt
Filed under: soil metagenome
Description: partial contains 5.8S ribosomal RNA, internal transcribed spacer 2, and large subunit ribosomal RNA
Rfam family: 5.8S ribosomal RNA (bases 1-122)
Source: RNAcentral
GAUGAAGAACGUAGCGAAAUGCGAUACUUGGUGUGAAUUGCAGAAUCCCGUGAACCAUCGAGUCUUUGAACGCAAGUUGCGCCCGAAGCCGUCAGGCCGAGGGCACGCCUGCCUGGGCGUCACACGCCGUUGCCCCCCCGCGCCCCGCACCCAACUCUUUGGGAGCGACCGCGGGGCGGGCUGAUGAUGGCCUCCCGUGCGCUCCGCCGCGCGGUUGGCCCAAAUACCGAGUCCCCGGCGACGUGCGCCACGACGAUCGGUGGUUGAGAGACCUCUGUCGCAAGUCGUGCGCGCCCGUCGCGUCACGCGGGCUCGCAUAGCGCCUCGCGCCGCACCCGGUGCGGAGCUUUCAACGCGACCCCAGGUCAGGCGGGGUUACCCACUGAAUUUAAGCAUAUCAAUAAGCGGAGGA